Molecule: ribosomal RNA, 372 nt
Filed under: uncultured organism
Description: partial 16S ribosomal RNA
Rfam family: Bacterial small subunit ribosomal RNA
Source: RNAcentral
GUAGGGUGGCAAGCGUUGUCCGGAAUUAUUGGGCGUAAAGCGCGCGCAGGCGGUCCUUUAAGUCUGAUGUGAAAGCCCACGGCUCAACCGUGGAGGGUCAUUGGAAACUGGGGGACUUGAGUACAGAAGAGGAAAGCGGAAUUCCAAGUGUAGCGGUGAAAUGCGUAGAGAUUUGGAGGAACACCAGGGGCGAAGGCGGCUUUCUGGUCUGUAACUGACGCUGAGGCGCGAAAGCGUGGGGAGCAAACAGGAUUAGAUACCCUGGUAGUCCACGCCGUAAACGAUGAGUGCUAAGUGUUAGGGGGUUUCCGCCCCUUAGUGCUGCAGCUAACGCAUUAAGCACUCCGCCUGGGGAGUACGGCCGCACGGCUG